CCUGCAUUGAAAGCGUGAAGUCUUAAAUACUGGACUGCCAGAGAAGUCCUCAUUCAUUCAUUUCUUUAAGAGGCCUUAGUCCCCAGCUUCUGAGCUCAACCUGAGGCAGCUACGAGCAGAGAAGAUGGAAUAUUCUACUCCAUUCUACUGUGGGAGGUGGGUCAGGCACAACCUCUGACUUCUGGAACUUUGUAAAGCGAAAAGAUGUUUCACGAACAGGCAGGACAGCCUCAUGGUUCAAUAUUCAAAAGGCAAAAGGAGACUGGAAAUAAAUCAAGCCUGAGCCUGGGAGUCGGAGCCUCUUCUCCCAGCUGCUGGGGCCUGGUCUGAUUUGGCCUCAUCUCAACAAGGAGACUUGUCCUGCUGGAGACUCUGGUACCAGUCCUGGGGCACACCUAGCCUCUUGCUUCAAAUCACGAUGACAAGAUUUUUGACACUGAAAAGUUUAAAUGACAAAUGCAAGAACCUUGACCGCUUCUCCACCCCUACCAGCGAGGUUGCUGGUUUGAACUCAGUGCUUGGCCAAUUUGUU
Molecule: long non-coding RNA, 532 nt
Organism: Balaenoptera acutorostrata (minke whale)
Lineage: Eukaryota; Metazoa; Chordata; Mammalia; Artiodactyla; Balaenopteridae
Exons: 4
Source: RefSeq, a predicted model, not a curated record